Molecule: ribosomal RNA, 485 nt
Filed under: uncultured bacterium
Lineage: Bacteria
Description: partial 16S ribosomal RNA
Rfam family: Bacterial small subunit ribosomal RNA
Source: RNAcentral
AUUGAACGCUGGCGGCAUGCCUUACACUUGCGAGUCGAACGGCAGCACGGGUGCUUGCACCUGGUGGCGAGUGGCGAACGGGUGAGUAAUACAUCGGAACGUGUCCUGUAGUGGGGGAUAGCCCGGCGAAAGCCGGAUUAAUAACGCAUACGAACUACGGGAGAAAGGGGGGGACCUUCGGGCCUCGCGCGCUAGGGUUGGCCGAUGGGUGGUUAGCUAGUUGGUGGGGUAAAGGCCUACCAAGGCGACGAUCAGUAGCUGGUCUGAGAGGACGACCAGCCACACUGGGACUGAGACACGGCCCAGACUCCUACGGGAGGCAGCAGUGGGGAAUUUUGGACAAUGGGCGAAAGCCUGAUCCAGCAAUGCCGCGUGUGUGAAGAAGGCCUUCGGGUUGUAAAGCACUUUUGUCCGGAAAGAAAUCCUUGGCCUAAUACGGUCGGGGGAUGACGGUACCGGAAGAAUAAGCACCGGCUAACUACGUG